AGUGGAGCAGAGUUGCGGCCAUUACUGUGACCUGCCAGGGAGUCCAGGCCUGUCGGUCGAAGCUCGGUUGGGGUGUUUGGUGGAGAGGGGUAGCUCUCCGACUGAGAGGAGCUCGGAUGUUGCUGGCGAGCUUUCUAUCAUUGGGUGCUUAGGGUGCUAGUACUGCAGGCGAAGGUCAUCCACUGUUGAAGCUCGAUCAGGGGCUUUCUGCUAGAGGGGUUUAGCUACUGGAGCC
RNAcentral lists this long non-coding RNA (235 nucleotides) under Elaeis guineensis (African oil palm). RNAcentral's name for it is "long non-coding RNA (EGUI_LNC076043)". Lineage: Eukaryota; Viridiplantae; Streptophyta; Magnoliopsida; Arecales; Arecaceae. The record is from RNAcentral.